UGCUUACCAGUGAUGGUGGAAAAAAAAAAUGUCUGAACAAAUGAAUUCAGUAUGAUAUCAGUGUUUUCUCUGAGGUAAGCA
Small nucleolar RNA from Epinephelus fuscoguttatus (brown-marbled grouper), 81 nucleotides. RefSeq annotates it as small nucleolar RNA SNORD72. NCBI's taxonomy places the organism in Eukaryota, Metazoa, Chordata, Actinopteri, Perciformes, Serranidae. The record is from RefSeq and is a predicted model, not a curated record. The transcript has a single exon.